Molecule: long non-coding RNA, 629 nt
Organism: Cuculus canorus (common cuckoo)
Lineage: Eukaryota; Metazoa; Chordata; Aves; Cuculiformes; Cuculidae
Exons: 3
Source: RefSeq, a predicted model, not a curated record
AUUUUUCUGGAAACAAUGACUAAUACAGCUUUUUCUGUGGAGGAUUUGAUGUACAUCCAGGCUGCCUGCAUGAAUCAGUGCUGAGAAUCAACGAACUGCGAGUAUUUCCUUUUCACUCCUGGAGCUCUCUGUUUUAGCUUCUGGUCUGGAAUAACCCAAUUUGCUACCUCUUGUAUCCUUUACAUAACUGCAGCUGCUGAGAAACGAUCAGGGGAGACGACACCAUAGGUCUUCUGAUGUUUGCACGGAUUUCACCUUCACCUGUCACCACCGAAAGACCUCGCAGGUGUCACCUGAACUCAGUUUUCAGUCUGAUUCAAGGGUUGCUUGUCUAGUGGGGUUGCACUGUGUAACAUCGUGAGCACCAAAUCAAAAAAGAAGGCGCGAAAGGACAUGUGAACCACUCUCGUAAUAUCAUCUCAAGAUGACUAAAGGAAGUAAAGAAGCCAGAAAUUAGGAGCUCCGUGCUGAGUUCUCAUGGGCUUAAAUGGUUUAGGAUUGGAGCUGAUAUAAGAAGAGGAUGCUAAUUGCCAGGCUAAAGUCCUCCCUGAUCCAAGGCUGUUCCAUCAGCACUGUAUUUUAUCAGAUUAGCGCAAGCAGGCAAAGUACAAGAAGUAACACCAAAUGAA